This 147-nucleotide small RNA is filed under the name Sinorhizobium meliloti 2011. RNAcentral's name for it is "putative ncRNA". The record is from RNAcentral. Lineage: Bacteria; Pseudomonadati; Pseudomonadota; Alphaproteobacteria; Hyphomicrobiales; Rhizobiaceae.
ACGGCUACGUUCUACCGGUAGAAACCAUAUUGCCGUCUUGUCCCGCCGAAGAAACCGGAUCCCGGAAUGUAUAUCGGGCCGCAAAGUCCCGAUAUAAGGCGUAUCCACGAGACGAUCGAAUUCGAGGCGCAGUUUGCGGAUUCGUUC